AGAUGAUUAAGUUUCAAAUUGUUUUUCUUUGUGUUGUUGGAAACGAGACUUUAAUGUGGUCCCUCCCCUAGCAGGGGACCUGGCCUAGCCUCAGUCCCCUGCCCCAGACCCUGCUCACCCCUGUCUAAGCCCUUUCCUCUCUGAAUUGUUAUCUUGGGGAAGGAUCCAAGGCUAUUUCCCCAGGGAUCUCUUCCAAGUAGUUUGUGUGAGGUGGGGGGAGGGGGAGGGAAUCCACUUCUUCCUCAGGAGUAUAUAAAGUUCUCUCCUACACACUUAUUGAUCCCACCAAGCCUGACCUAGAAUGGCCCAUGAAUGCCAACUUGUCUGUCCAGUGGUCUGUGGAUUGAUGAAGAGUUAGUGUUACUCUGGAAGACAACCAAUUUUCUUCUCAAGGCAAACCAGAUCCUUCAGACAACUUCUUUCCUGAUCUGAGAUUCUUCAUUACAACGAUGGCAGAUGCAUCAUGACAUUUACUUCUACAAAUGUAAGGUUUAGAACUGGCCUUUCUCUGGUCUCUGUCAAGCAAAGGAAUUGAAUCUGCUUGAGCAUGUUUCUGUAAUUGAUCUCCCCAAUUCUCCAGCUACCCAGGUCCUUCUCAUCCUUCAAGGCUCAGCUCAAGUCCUAACCUCCUCCCUGAAACCUUCUCCCACUGCCCAGGUACUCAUUGAUGCAGUCUCCCUCCUUUAAAUUCCUGCAGCACUUAUUGUCUGCACUGAUCAUUCUGGCCCCUAAUCAGAGGCUAUGUCAUGUUGUUAUUUAACUGUUUCACAUCUGAUUCUUGAUUCCUAAGUGAAGUUAUAAACCUACUAAUGACAAGGACUGUGCCUUAUACUUUUCUGGUAUCAUCAGCUCUCAGGAACAGAGGCAAAAAGAGAUAGGCACAAGACUGGGAAGAAGGGUAAAUCUGGACCGUUAGUCUUGAAGUUUGGAUACCCCUCUGUGGCUGAGAUCACAUCCCCUUUCAAUUUUUCAGAAAGCAGAGGUUAUGUCUUCACUUCAGAGACCCCCUAUAAGUGACAAGUAUGGGUAUUAAUAAAUAUUGCUGGCUGUCUGAAAGCUUAAUUUAU
RNAcentral lists this long non-coding RNA (1067 nucleotides) under Phascolarctos cinereus (koala). RNAcentral's name for it is "lncRNA (ENSPCIG00000029871.2)". The record is from RNAcentral. Lineage: Eukaryota; Metazoa; Chordata; Mammalia; Diprotodontia; Phascolarctidae.